RNAcentral lists this ribosomal RNA (606 nucleotides) under uncultured organism. Its description in RNAcentral is "bacterial SSU rRNA". It matches the Rfam family "Bacterial small subunit ribosomal RNA", at positions 200 to 823 of the family's 1533-position model. The record is from RNAcentral.
GGUAAAGCUUUUGCGGUUUGGGAUGGGCCUGCGUCCUAUCAGGUAGUUGGUGAGGUAAAUGCUCACCAAGCCUAUGACGGGUAGCUGGUCUGAGAGGAUGGUCAGCCAGACUGGGACUGCGACACGGCCCAGACUCCUACGGGAGGCAGCAACUAGGAAUUGUGCGCAAUGGACGAAAGUCUGACGCCGCGACAUCGCGUGGAGGAUGAAGGUCUGCGGAUUGUAAACUCCUUUUCUUACCGAACAAGUUCUGAGUGUAGGUAAGGAAUAAGUGCCUGCUAACCACGUGCCAGAAGCAUCGGUAAUACGUGGGGCACGAGCGUUAUCCGGAUUUACUGGGCGUAAAGAGAAGCGUAGGCGGCUCAAUAAGUUUGGUGUUAAAUCUUCCGGCUCAACCGGAAACAAGCACCGAAAACUAUCGAGAUUGAGUCGAGUAGGGAAGAGGGGAAUUCCUGGUGGAGCGGUUAAAUGCGUAGAUAUCAGGAGGAAUACCAAGGGCGAAGGCACCUCUUUGGACUCGUACUGACGCUGAGGCUCGAAAGCGUGGGUAGCAAAACGGAUUAGAUACCCGUGUAGUCCACGCCGUAAACGAUCCCUGUUAGAUGU